GACGAACGCUGGCGGCGUGCCUAAUACAUGCAAGUCGAGCGCACAGAUGAGGAGCUUGCUCUUCUGGGGUUAGUUGCGGACGGGUGAGUAACGCGUGGAUAACCUGCCUUUUAGACUGGGAUAACUAUGGGAAACCGGAGCUAAUACCGGAUAACAUUUUGUGACACAUGGUUCAUUAUUGAAAGACGGUAUUGCUGUACCUUAUAGUUGGCUCCGCGUUGCUUAAGCUAGUUGUUAAGGUAACGGCUAACCAAGGGAACGAUGCUUAGCCGACCUGAGAGGGGGAUCGGCCACACGGGAACGGAGACACGGUCCAGACUCCUACGGGAGGCAGCAGUAGGGAAUCUUCCGCAAUGGGCGAAAGCCUGACGGAGCAACGCCGCGUGAGUGAUGAAGGUCUUCGGAUCGUAAAACUCUGUUAUUAGGGAAGAACAAAUGUGUAAGUAACUAUGCACGUCUUGACGGUACCUAAUCAGAAAGCCACGGCUAACUACGUG
Molecule: ribosomal RNA, 497 nt
Filed under: uncultured bacterium
Lineage: Bacteria
Description: partial 16S ribosomal RNA
Rfam family: Bacterial small subunit ribosomal RNA
Source: RNAcentral